Molecule: long non-coding RNA, 519 nt
Organism: Gadus morhua (Atlantic cod)
Lineage: Eukaryota; Metazoa; Chordata; Actinopteri; Gadiformes; Gadidae
Exons: 3
Source: RefSeq, a predicted model, not a curated record
ACACACACACACUGACGGUUAACUCUGCCCUCUGAGUCAUCGGAGUAAUGCCAUGUCAUCGGACUGUGUCAUGUGAUGAGUUGUCUGCAAUUGGUUGUUUAAAGGCGUCUAGGUGAAUAUGUGUUAGCACCAUGCCGAUGACUGAAAGAUAAUGGCUGAUUACGCUUUGCUGGACAUGUGUUUAAUGCUCUAGGGGUUGUCUCUUGGAUAUCUGCUCUCCAGCAGUAUUUUUGGGACAUGUUACACAGGAUUGGCCCCUGAGUUACCAGAGAGGGCGGAACCGUUCAGCCUGUCUGCGGAUCCGUUAGACACGAACAGGUCGCCGGGGGACACGUCCAGACCGGGAAUGCUGACCACCACCGAGCUCCGCCGCCGCUCCUGCAGCCUGGGGACCAAGACCACUGCAGGUCUCGGGGCUUGUUGCAGGAAAACGUGAGCGUCGCGGAGUCCGGGGGGAGAAGAGCUGGAGAGGGCUGUGAGCCGAGGAGGAGCACUCCUCCUGCAGCGCGCUGCUAUCCU